This 524-nucleotide ribosomal RNA is filed under the name uncultured Rhodoferax sp. Its description in RNAcentral is "bacterial SSU rRNA". It matches the Rfam family "Bacterial small subunit ribosomal RNA", at positions 1 to 519 of the family's 1533-position model. The record is from RNAcentral. Lineage: Bacteria; Pseudomonadati; Pseudomonadota; Betaproteobacteria; Burkholderiales; Comamonadaceae.
UAGAGUUUGAUCAUGGCUCAGAUUGAACGCUGGCGGUAUGCCUUACACAUGCAAGUCGAACGGCAGCAUGACGUGUAGCAAUGCACGUUGAUGGCGAGUGGCGAACGGGUGAGUAAUAUAUCGGAACGUGCCCUGUAGCGGGGGAUAACCUAUCGAAAGAUGGACUAAUACCGCAUACGCUCUACGGAGGAAAGCGGGGGUCGCAAGACCUCGCACUAUAGGAGCGGCCGAUAUCGGAUUAGCUAGUUGGCGGGGUAAAAGCCCACCAAGGCGACGAUCCGUAGCUGGUCUGAGAGGACGACCAGCCACACUGGAACUGAGACACGGUCCAGACACCUACGGGUGGCAGCAGUCGAGAAUUUUUCUCAAWKGGGGRAAMCCYKRARGRAGCGACGCCGCGUGGAGGAUGACGGCUUUCGGGUUGUAAACUCCUGUCAUUUGGGAACAAAGCCUUACGUUAACUGCGUGGAGGUUUGAUAGUACCAGAAGAGGAAGAGACGGCUAACUCUGUGCCAGCCGCCGCG